This 323-nucleotide long non-coding RNA is filed under the name Phoenix dactylifera (date palm). RNAcentral describes it as "long non-coding RNA (PDAC_LNC008361)". Lineage: Eukaryota; Viridiplantae; Streptophyta; Magnoliopsida; Arecales; Arecaceae. The record is from RNAcentral.
AGGUAAAAAAGUAGGCAGUGGAGUAAUAAAAAAGUUAAAGAUGAGAGUGUAUUUGAGAGGGAGAUGCAGAUACAAAUCCUCUCUUCUUUUACUUUUUUAAUAGUAAGUGUGGUGGUAUGUGUUUUUGUAUGAGUAUAUGUGUUUUUUUAAUUGUUCAUUUUCUCCAAUAGUUUUUUGCAAGAGCAUACGUAGGUAUGUUUUGGUAGGUCUUUAUUAGUGUGGGGUUUGUGAGGUGGUCUAGGGCAAGGGGAAUGUUUAGAGAACCUUCCUUUUUGCAAUGGCUGUUGAUGUGAUCAGAUGGUCCUAGAAUGUUGGGCUGCAUG